CCAGCUGUCAGUCUGGAGUCUGUGAGCUCCCACUAGCUCAGAUCAGCUGUUUCUGAGGCAUGGUCUUGACCCCUUUGCUUAUCACUCCUCCCUCUUUACAACUGGACUCCAGGUGUUCAGCCUAGUGCUUAGCUGUGAAUCUCUGCUUCUGCUUUCAUCAAUUACUGGAUGAAGGCUUUAUGAUGACAAAUAAGGUAGUCAUCAAUCUGAUUAUAGGAGGAAGGGCAUUUAAGGUAGCCUAUCCACUAUUGCUGAGAUUCUUAGGUGGGGUCAUCCUUGUGGAUUCCCUGGAAUUUUCCUAGUGUUAGGUUUCUCCUUAACCCCAUAAUGGCUUCCUCUAUUGGGCUGGAGGGAUGGCUGAGACAUUAAAGGAUAGGCUCACAACCAAAAAUAUAAGAGGGAAGCAUGCUCCAUGAUGGGAGCAUAGACCAAGACAGUAAGCACAGCUCUCAGUCCUGGUGGUAAACGUACCCCAUCCAUUUUGGAAAGACAGUGACUAAAAUAUAGGUUGCUUUAAUUUUUCUUUUGACAGGGAUUCUCUGUGUAGCUUUGGAGCCUAUCCUGGCACUUGCUCUGGAGACUAGACAGGCCUCGAAUUCACAGAGAUCCACCUGCCUCUCCCUCCCGAGUGCUGGGAUUAAAGGUGUGUACCACCAACACCCGUCUGCCACUUUAAUUUUAGCAAUGUUGUUUAGCAGAUAAAAGACCAUGUGGCCAGAACAACGUAGAUUUACAGUAAAGACAGAUUCAGAUGAAGAAAAACCCCAGAAGGUUUACAAUGUUUUAAAAAAUAUACAUAGUAUUAUAAGAGAAAAAUAAACAGGAUAAAUAAUUGAAAGAAAUAAAGAGGCAGUGUGGUGAUGCUGCACGCCUUUAUUCUCAGCACUCCAGAGCAGAGUCAGCUGAAUUUUUACAGAAAAACCCUGUCUCAGGAAAAAAGAAAAAGAAAGAAGGAAUUAAAAGAAAUAAAAUAUUAAAAAGCCAGGUAAAUGGAAAAUACUCAUAGAGUCUGAAUACUAUAUGUUAUACUGUUGUCUUAAAUUGUUUCAUUGCUAAAGAAAGAACUACAGCUGCUAAAAGAUAUUGAUUAUAAGUGCUGCUAAAUUAAUCCAACUUAUACAUUUUUAAAAUGCUUUGACUUCAAAAUUUAAAUCUGGGCUGGAGACAUGGCUUAGUGGUUAAAAGCAUUGACUGCUCUUCCAGAGGACCCAGGUUCAAUUCCCAGCAUCCACAUGGAAGCUCACAACUGUAAUUCCAGUUCCAGGGGAUUUGACACCUCCACACCAAUGAAUAUAAAAUAAAGUUAAAUUUAAAAAAAAUUAUGUCUCAGGACUGGCUACUUGGGAAAGAAUUUCUGCUUUUGUUUCCACAGAAAAUAUAAAGCUAUGGAUGCCUUCCAGAGUAAUAUGGUUUGAUGAAGUAUGACCCCCCGAAACAGUGACCCAGGUGAUCCAACAUCUAAAACAGAAGAGUUGGUACAGCCUUAGAGACUACAAAAAAAGGACCUGGCCCUGUUUCUGUGUUUUAUCAUGAUCCCCAUGGUAUGGACAUCACCCCAAACCAGCAGGAAGCAGUUUGGAAUCAACAACGCCCAAAUUUCCCAAUGUUGUUUAUAAAUGUUUGUUUUCAUUUAAAUGGGGUUAGUUAUAAAUGGUAAUGAUCACAUUCAAUCUAUUCUUAAAGGAAAAAAGGGGAAUAGGAUAUAGAAAUGAAUGCUUUACCUUUGUAUGUAUUUUCAUUUAUUGAUACACAUUUAAGGUUAAUUUUGCUAUAUGUAAAUAUCUCUUGUUCGGUAUUGUGUUUAUACAGAUCUUUUAAAAUGUAAUGCAUAGUUAAAUACAGAUUGUAUAUAGUCAGGUAUAAUAGUCAAAACUUAUAGUUAGGUUACUUAGGUUGUCUAGAUAUACAAAGACAUAUUUGAGAUGUAUAGGUAUUCUUCAAACCUUUCAAAGACCCACAGAAUAAUGGUAUUUUAAAUGGUUUAGGAUUUUAAUGACAGUGAAACACAACUGUUCUUGGCACAUCAAUUACAUCAGAAAGGAGGAUGAGCAUUGAAGAAUUUUUUUAUGGAGUUUGCCUUCAACAUGGCAAGAUAAACCAUUUGGUCAAGAAACUACUCUUGCCUGGACUGUUUGAUAAACUGGACAUGUAGGACACUCAGGAAAGUGCCUACUGAACUUGCAAAAUAAGAGAGUUGUGAAGGGUUCCUACAUCAUGGAGAAGUAUGCCAGACACAUUGUGGCCUAUAGGCUGAAGAUGGAUGCCCCCACCUUACAGAGGAACUUUGGGUGACUCUCCAAGUAUCGGGAUGUCUCUGUCAGAUCCAGAGUUGAUAGGUUAUCCUUCUGUGGUCUUAAUGGAGUUGAAGACAGAUAGUUAUGUUUAUAGUUUUCUUUAGUUAUUAUAAAAGAUAAGCUACAUAUAAGACUUUGCCCUGGUGUGUGUGGGGGACUUUGAGAGCCAUCCCACUUGAAGGGAUGCGCUCUGUCUCUGGACACAUGGGGAGGGGCCUAGGCCCAGCAUAGAACGAUUUGGUGGACUUUGUGGAGCCCCGGUUGGGGGCCCCACCCUGCCUGGGGAGUGGUGGGUGGAUGCGAUGGGGGGUUGGUUGGAGGUGGGGGAGAACCAAUGGAGGUGAGGGGAGGGAGAAGGAGAGGGGACUUAUAUGUGAAACAAGCCUGUUCCCUAACUUAAAUUAAUAAUAAUAAUAAUAAUAAUAAGAAGAAGAAGAAGAAGAAGAAGAAGAAGAAGAAAAAGAAGAAGAAGAAGAAAGAAAGAAAAAAAGGUCUGUGUGUGUGUGUGUGUGUGUGUGUAUGUGUGUAAUUAAGUUGAAAAACACAGGAAGCAUGUAAAAAGGGUCCAAGAUAUCCGGGACGUUCUACUUAAUUAGAAAAAGACAAGAGGAACUAACUGUAAAGAUAACUCUUACCACCAGCUGCCUUGGUUCUGCCAUAAUUUUAGGUCCCCAAAAUAACACACACAGUCUUAUAUUAAUUACAAUGCCGCUGGCCAAUGACUAAGAUUUCUAACUUGCUUGCUCUGUCUUAAUUAUCAACCAUAACUAUUAAUCUAUUCAUCUUAUAAAGAAUCAUAUAGGACACCAGCGGCAUGCAUACUCUGCUCCCAGAUUUACAUGGCAAAACCUUUCUUUACUAAUUUCCCAGAAUCCUCCUCUCCUAGUCUCUCCUAACUUGUUUGUCUAUUGGCCAACCGAGCUUUAUUUAUUAACCAAUAAGUCAAACAUACAAAGAAGGACUUCCCCCAUAAUGCCCUCAUUCCGGACUCACAGGUCUCCUAGCCACGCCCAUCCGACCUUACCACUUCAUGGCCUUACUGCCUCCAAAAGACCCUCAAGGCUGCCAGACUCCUUACAGGUGCCCCCUGUAACCUGUGAGUCACUCUAAGUCUUUCUGUCUCCUCUAGUAAGAGGCAGCUGUCCAGUGGAGUAGUCCAUUCUAGGGGUGCUUGCCAUGUAUUUUACCUCUUCACACAGUGCGAAGAAGAAAGGGAUGGAACUCCUUCUCCUUGCACUUUUUUUUGAUGUUAAUAUAAGGUGAGCAAGGCUUCUGAAAUGAGCAACAUUAAGUCAAGAGUUUUGCCUGGGUAGGCUUGCAAGUCAUAGCACCCCUGCCACAUCAACUGGUAGGCAGCUUCUCCCUUGUCUUUCAACAAGCCUAGGUGUUCCCUCCCACAGAUGCAUAUGCAUAUGCAAACAGUCAGGCCAGGAAUUACAGUUCCUUUCUCCUCCUCCUUAUAUUCCUCUCUCCACCUAGCCAUGUCCUCUUGUCUCCACCUCCCAAGUGCUGGGAUUAAAGGCUUGAACUCUGUUAGUCAUUUAGACUAAUUCAAUUUUGUAUAGUGUUGGUUGGCCUGAUAUCAGAGAGAUCCAUCAACCUUUGUUUACUGAGUCCUGUGAUUAAAGGUGUGUUCCAACACUGCCUGACCAAGAAUGUGGCUGCUUUGCUAUUUUGAUCACCAGUGCCUUUAAUAAAUGAUAAAACAUAUAACACCACAGGUCUUGACAAACAAUAAUACUAUGGAUUUAUUAAUAUAAUUAAUUUGAGAAUUGUUUUUUAUUAUUUUUCAUUGGCAAUUGUUUUCAACCCACUGAGUUUAGACAGGCCCAUCUAGGCAACCACAGAUUUAGAACUGUCCUUUGGAACCUGAUGGGAUUAAUAAUGAGAUCACACAAGACUUAAGACAAACCUAGUAAUAGCCAGUAGUUUCACAGUAAGAAGUAGUGUCUCAUGGUCCCUCCCACAAACCACAAACUAAUUGUUGACAAGGCCUGUUGUGAUAUACUGUUUAUGAUUUCUUAAGACCACUGGAGAUCAAAAUAACAAAACAGCCAUACUCUUUGGCCAUAGAAAUGAGGCAGUGUUGGCACACACCUUUAAUCACAGGACUCAGUAAACUAAGGCAGAUGGAUCUCUCUGAUUUAAGCCCACCCAGGGCUAUACAAAAUUGAAUUAGUCUAAAGUAGGAAGAGAGUUCUUGCCUUUAAUCCCAGGGUUGGGACCACACACCCUUAAUCCCAGCACUAGGGAGGGGGAGAUAGGAGGAUAAGGAGAGGAAUAUAAGGAGGAGGGGACAGGAACUGAGAGCCUUUGCCUCUGAGGAUUCCUGGAGACAGGAUUGCCAUUUCAGCAGGAUAGAGGACUUUUCCUUCAAUAGGAGCCCACUUACAGAAAUUGCCAGAAAAACUUCAGAAGCCAUGCAGAAGCUGCGUGAACGCCUGUGCACGGAGACAGAGCCCAGGCAGCUCUACAAAACCCUGAAGAAACUCUCUUCACAGCCCGUGCUGGGAGACAUCCUGGAGGAGAUUGGCUUCAGGGAGAACGUCAAACUCUUGAAGAACCAGCCGCUCCUGGUCCCAUUUGCCAAGGAGUUAGCCGCCAAGUGGUCAGAGG
This 4910-nucleotide long non-coding RNA is filed under the name Cricetulus griseus (Chinese hamster). Its description in RNAcentral is "lncRNA (ENSCGRG00015031760.1)". Lineage: Eukaryota; Metazoa; Chordata; Mammalia; Rodentia; Cricetidae. The record is from RNAcentral.